UGGGGAAUAUUGCGCAAUGGGCGGAAGCCUGACGCAGCGACGCCGCGUGGGGGAUGACGGCCUUCGGGUUGUAAACCCCUUUCACUAUCGACCAAGGCCUCUUUUGGGGUUGAGUGUAGGUGGGGAAGAAGCACCGGCUAACUACGUGCCAGCAGCCGCGGUAAUACGUAGGGUGCGAGCGUUGUCCGGAUUUAUUGGGCGUAAAGGGCUCGUAGGCGGCUUGUCGCGUCGGGAGUGAAAGCCCGCUGCUUAACGGCGGGUUGGCUUUCGGUACGGGCAGGCUGGAGUGCGGCAGGGGAGACUGGAAUUCCUGGUGUAGCGGUGGAAUGCGCAGAUAUCAGGAGGAACACCGGUGGCGAAGGCGGGUCUCUGGGCCGUUACUGACGCUGAGGAGCGAAAGCGUGGGGAGCGAACAGGAUUAGAUACCCUGGUAGUCCACGCUGUAAACGUUGGGCGCUAGGUGUGGGGCCUGUUUCCACGGGUUCCGUGCCGGAGCUAACGCAUUAAGCGCCCCGCCUGGGGAGUACGGCCGC
RNAcentral lists this ribosomal RNA (533 nucleotides) under uncultured bacterium. Its description in RNAcentral is "bacterial SSU rRNA". It matches the Rfam family "Bacterial small subunit ribosomal RNA", at positions 355 to 889 of the family's 1533-position model. The record is from RNAcentral.